This is a non-coding RNA of Aspergillus melleus, 103 nucleotides long. NCBI's taxonomy places the organism in Eukaryota, Fungi, Ascomycota, Eurotiomycetes, Eurotiales, Aspergillaceae. The record is from the annotation of a RefSeq genome assembly.
GGGGUGAUAGCUCAGUUGGGAGAGCGCACGACUGAAGAUCCACUCAGUCAAUCAGAUUUAUCUGGUAAUCGUGAGGUCACCGGUUCAAUCCCGGUUCAUCCCA